AUUUAAAAUGGUUGGCAGUGCCAAAAGGGCAGUUUGAGGUGAGGGAGAUCAGAUAAAGUAAAUGUCCUGUGGGAUAUAAAAAACACUUGCAGUCUUAUGAUAAGACGCUUACUGACCUACAUGCUUCAGUCUUCCUAACCACUUCAUUAAAAAGCCAAAACCUUUGUGAUCCAGCAAAGUUCCAUGUUGGUUGCAUAGCAGUCUAGUGCAAGCUGGAGCAUCUUGCAGAGCUGGCAUCUAACUGGUAUACUUCAAAUGUGAUGUAAGAUCAUUCAUAAGUUGUAUUGCCUCUCUUUGUAUGUGAGUAUUCAAACAACUUGAAACAAAAGUCAGAUGGCAGUUGUACACCUUAACGAUCCAUUAGUAUAGUACAUGUAUUGGGUGAUUGAAGAUAUUUUGUCUAUAGCACUAUUCUGAAAGCACAAGCUCUCUUGCUUUUUGGUAUUUUAAAAGAAUGUUCUCUAGUUCUUUCUUUGGUGAGACACUUCUGGUUCUUCACACCAAUAGUGUGAUUAACAUGUUUCGUCAUUUGAAUUCUUUUGCACUUAUUUUGAAAUCCAGAUAUUAAUAAUGUUCUAAUUCCCAUGACUUCUAAAUUUAGAAUCCUGAAAAAAACUAAGGCAAACUAACAUUAUGAAGCACAAAAUCAUGCUAUUCCAGUUGUGUACUUUAGAAGAAAUGCUUGUUUCUGUACUUGAUAUCUGAUGCUGAUAUACACAGUUGCAUUUGAUGCUUGCUACAGUAUGAAAUUGUCACUCAAAUAAGCUCAAUAUCUACUCAAAUAAGCAACUUGAGAGUUUCUGUUGCUCUGCAAGCAGUGCCCAUCAUUAGCUUCUGUAGGGUAUCUGCUUAUUAGACAGGGAGUAAAGAUCACAUGGGUGCCUUUGACAUAGGCCUCCUGCAUGCAGACAUCUAGAGAGUAACCUUAAAUAAAACCAAUUUCUGUAUUGCACUUGAUGUAAAAAUAGAUUUGCCUUUUGAUGUUGGUGUCUGGCUAGUGCAACACACUUAUUGGACAUAACUAAAAUGUUUGGAGUUGUGGGCUUUUGACAACUCCCUGAGACAUAACGGUGGAUUGUCAAUGAAUCAGACGCAUUUGAAUUAUGAGAUUAACUGUAUUUGUCCAUUGUUUAAUGGUACUAUGGAUGAUUAAUUUGCUAGUUUAUCUGUACAUUAAUCAGCUUGUUUUAUGUUUAACAGGCUUACUACAGCAGUUGAUCUCCCUCCUGAAUUUAUUCACCUUUAUAUCUCCAAUUGCAUCUCUACCUGUGAACAGAUUAAGGAUAAAUACAUGCAGAAUCGCCUGGUACGUCUCGUUUGUGUCUUUCUCCAAUCUUUGAUCCGGAACAAAAUUAUUAAUGUACAGGACUUGUUUAUAGAAGUGCAGGCAUUUUGUAUUGAGUUCAGUCGGAUACGAGAAGCAGCUGGCCUUUUCAGAUUGCUGAAGACACUGGAUACUGGGGAAAAUCCUUCAGAGGCAAAAGCUUCAAAAUAAGACCUUCAAAAUUUGGCGAAACAGCGGUCAGCUGAAUGUUCUGUAUCAUUACUUUUUUGUGUAUAAAUUUUAAACUUAAAUCAGUGGAUUGCUUGGUUUAAUACUGUAUAAAUAGCAUUUUAUGCAUAAAGCAAGGCAAUAAAUAUUGCUUUUCUGAUACUAGAAAAA
This is a non-coding RNA of Chrysemys picta bellii (western painted turtle), 1663 nucleotides long. Lineage: Eukaryota; Metazoa; Chordata; Testudines; Emydidae. The record is from RefSeq and is a predicted model, not a curated record.